Molecule: ribosomal RNA, 492 nt
Filed under: uncultured bacterium
Lineage: Bacteria
Description: partial 16S ribosomal RNA
Rfam family: Bacterial small subunit ribosomal RNA
Source: RNAcentral
AGUGAACGCUGGCGGUAGGCCUAACACACGCUAGUCGAACGGCAGCACAGUAAGAGCUUGCUCUUACGGGUGGCGAGUGGCGGACGGGUGAGGAAUACAUCGGAAUCUACUUUUUCGUGGGGGAUAACGUAGGGAAACUUACGCUAAUACCGCAUACGACCUACGGGUGAAAGCAGGGGAUCUUCGGACCUUGCGCGAUUGAAUGAGCCGAUGUCGGAUUAGCUAGUUGGCGGGGUAAAGGCCCACCAAGGCGACGAUCCGUAGCUGGUCUGAGAGGAUGCUCAGUCACACUAGAACUGAGACACGGUCCAGACUCCUACGGGAGGCAGCAGUGGGGAAUAUUGGACAAUGGGCGCAAGCCUGAUCCAGCCAUACCGCGUGGGUGAAGAAGGCCUUCGGGUUGUAAAGCCCUUUUGUUGGGAAAGAAAAGCAGCAGGUUAAUACCCCGCUGUUCUGACGGUACCCAAAGAAUAAGCACCGGCUAACUUCGUG